This is a long non-coding RNA of Bos taurus (domestic cattle), 1534 nucleotides long. The record is from Ensembl. NCBI's taxonomy places the organism in Eukaryota, Metazoa, Chordata, Mammalia, Artiodactyla, Bovidae.
UAUUGAUUACAUCAAACAAAAUUUCUUUAAUGAAAAAGGCAAGUUGCAUUCAUAAAAGAUGGCAUUCACAUUCAUUAUAGAAAGCAAUGAUGUAAAAAAUUGCUGAAGUGAAAAAUGUAAUAUUGCAGUCCAAUUUUGUAAGCUGAAAAAUGAUUUUGUCAACACUUGCAUAAAAUCUGCAUUUAUAUAUACUGCAUGUUAUUAAAAAAUUCUGUCACUAAAUUAUUAUGAAUUUUGCAAAUUUAGGCUUACAUUUUAUACUGUUGCUGGUGUAAAUGUGGUAGAUAUGGAAUUUAUGUUUUCAGUUUAGUACUAACAUCCUCAAACAAUGGACAACAGUUAUGAAAACUAUAAGGACAGUUUGUAGUUCAAAAUUAUUCAAAUGAUGGGUAUAUGAUCCUAUUAUUACAUUUUAUCAGUUUCUCUGGCACAAAAUAAGGUGGUUAGAUUGUAGUGAUAGGAAUACUGGAUGGCUUACUUCUGCUAACCUCACGCCAACCCUUUUUUUUAGCUCAUUAAUAAAAUAUCUAUCUUUAAAAAAGUCAAGUCAGGUCCCUUUCAAGAAUCUAGGCCAUAUCACACAUCACUGUCAUCGUGAAUUUGAGCUGCAGUGUAAUGUGUACCUUAUAAGACAGACUUUACAUCCCCCUUACUUAUCUUUCUUCCAGGUUGCAAGGAAUUUUACAUUUCUGCUACCUUAGAUAUUUUGAUUAUGUCAAACCUUCAAUGGUCUGCAUUAAACAAGGCUCUCUAGUUAAGGUGGGCUCUUUGUAUUCACAGUCUCUAUAAUUCUUAUGUAAAACAACAAUAAUAAUACAGCAAUAAUUAUAAACACAAGAACAACAACAAAACAUCAAAAGCUUUCCUGGCUCUGAUUUUUAGCUCUUUGGAAUAGGUAGAGAAUAUACUGACUUGGUUUCCAGCAGACUACUUCAAAUACUAGGCUACUAAAACACAGCACACUUAGGAAGGCGUGAUGACACCUAACAAAUACUCAAAAAUAAUACUGAUAGAUGGUAACAAAUGAAAUAAUGAAAAAGGGUCAGUAAUGAUGGAAGGGCUUCUGAUAACUGAAAUGUCCUUUCGAGAAUUUAAGAAAAAUUAUACCUAAACAUUAACACAAAAUGUAAGUGGAAGAAUCAAAUAUGUCAUAUGGACUUUAUAAAUACAUUGGUAUAGACUGAAUCUAAUACUUUUCCAAAUCAGGGUACAAUAUAAACACUAAUAAUAGUACAGGCAUGCCAGAAAGACAACCAAAAAUGGAAACUGGAACAAAAAUACCUUUUAAAAGACCAUUUCAAUCUAGGAGUCAAAUGUAGUCAUUUAUAUCCAAAAAAAAGUGUAAGUUUAAUUUUAACAUUUAAUAAAAGACAUAUCACAUUUAUUUUUAUGUUUUAAGUGAGCUCCUUAGGAGGCUAUAACCUCCCCCUAGUCCAGUAAGUGGAGGAUUUAACCAAGGUGAAUCUUGUGGUUUAGAGUUAGACCAUUACCUAGCCGUAUUUGCUAAGAGAGACAAUAUUCAUGUUCAGAGUCA